CGGAAGGAUGAGAAAAGACACGAGGGUUCAGAAGCGAGUGGUUUUGGCUCUGGAAUACCGAAAGAAUCUGCAGAAUCACAGAAGUCAUGGAAGAGUCAGGCAACAGAAUCUAAGGACGAGAAACAAAGACAGACAUCUGAAUCAAAUACCGUAGAGAGUAUUAUGGAUGGAAAUGCAUGGGUGCUGUGCAAUGCAACUGCAGGAACUGACUAUAUACCAUGCCUAGACAACGAAGAAGCUAUAAUGAAACUAAGGAGUAGAAGACAUUUUGAGCACAGAGAGAGACAUUGCCCAGAAGAUCCACCAACGUGUCUAGUCCCCCUCCCAGAAGGGUAUAAGGAGUCCAUCAAGUGGCCUGAAAGCAGAGACAAGGUAAAAUAUUCUAUCCAAAAAAAAGUUUUCUUCAGGUGAAAUAAUGUGAAAUUGGAUAGAAGUUGACUCACAUGUGAUCUAGUAGAUAUGGUAUCACAAUGUCCCACACACAAAGCUAGCUGAGGUAAAAGGACAUCAGAACUGGGUGAAAGUCACUGGC
Molecule: long non-coding RNA, 532 nt
Filed under: Arabidopsis lyrata
Lineage: Eukaryota; Viridiplantae; Streptophyta; Magnoliopsida; Brassicales; Brassicaceae
Description: long non-coding RNA (ALYR_LNC001788)
Source: RNAcentral